UCCCCGUUGCCGGGGCAGUCUGAUUAGAGAAAUACAACUAAUCAUAAGGGUUGCGCUCGUUGAUGGACUUAACCAAACAUCUCACGACACGAGCUGACGACGGCCAUGCAACACCUGUCACUGCGCUCCUAAAAGGCACUCUCUUCUUUCGAAGAAAUUCGCAGGAUGUCAAACCUUGGUAAGGUUUUCCGUUUAUCAUCGAAUUAAACCACACGCUCCACCGCUUGUGCGGGCCCCCGUCAAUUCCUUUAUGUUUUAGUCUUGCGACCGUACUCCACAGGCGGGAUGCUUAACGCGUUAGCUUCGCUACUACCCGGGUCGAUACGGAUAACAGCUAGCAUCCAUCGUUUACGGCGUGGACUAC
Molecule: unclassified non-coding RNA, 364 nt
Filed under: uncultured bacterium
Lineage: Bacteria
Description: contains 16S-23S intergenic spacer region
Source: RNAcentral